UACGUAGGGGGCGAGCGUUGUCCGGAAUUAUUGGGCGUAAAGCGCGCGCAGGCGGUCCUUUAAGUCUGAUGUGAAAGCCCACGGCUCAACCGUGGAGGGUCAUUGGAAACUGGGGGACUUGAGUGCAGGAGAGGAGAGCGGAAUUCCACGUGUAGCGGUGAAAUGCGUAGAGAUGUGGAGGAACAUCAGUGGCGAAGGCGGCUCUCUGGCCUGUAACUGACGCUGAGGCGCGAAAGCGUGGGGAGCAAACAGG
Molecule: ribosomal RNA, 253 nt
Filed under: uncultured bacterium
Lineage: Bacteria
Description: partial 16S ribosomal RNA
Rfam family: Bacterial small subunit ribosomal RNA
Source: RNAcentral